UAGAUUUUUAGUCAAGCUACUAAGAGCCGUUGGUGGAUGAUUUGGCGCUUGAUGGCGAUGAAGGACGUGGUAAGCUGCGAUAAGCGCGGGGGAGGUGCAAACAACCUUUGAUCCCGUGAUGUCCGAAUGGGGCAACCCUACUGCUGUGAAGCAGUAAUCGUAAUCUGAAUACAUAGGAUUACGAAGCGAGACGGGGUGAAUUGAAACAUCUUAGUAACCCCAGGAACAGAAAGAAAUUCGAUUCCCCUAGUAGCGGCGAGCGAAAAGGGAAGAGUCUAAACCUCCAAUAUGCCAAGCUUCGGAGCGUUGUAUUGGGGGUGUCGUGGGUGGAAGCGUUCUCGGUCCGAACCGAGAGAGGAAGAUGCAAAUAUUUUUAGUCGAAGGGUCUGGAACGACCUGCCAAAGAUGGUGAUAGUCCAGUAGACGAAAAGAAUAUUUCCUUUUUUGCUUUUUACCCAAGUACUGCUUGAUAAGUGAAACCAAGCAGGAAUCAGGGAAAACCAGUUCCUAAGACUAAAUACAAGCAAGCGACCGAUAGUGAACAAAGUACCGUGAGGGAAAAUUGAAAAGAACCCCUGUUAGGGGAGUGAAAUAGAACCUGAAACCAACAGGCUUACAGGCGGUAGGAGGGCUAUGCACUCGCAAGAGUGAAUGCCUGACUGCAGUGCCUUUUGCAUAAUGAUCCGGCGAGUUAUUCCAUGCGGCAAGGUUAAUCCCGGCGACGGGAGGAGCCGUAGCGAAAGCGAGUCUGAAUAGGGCGUUUAGUCUCAUGGAAUAGACCCGAAUCGGUGUGAGCUAACCAUGACCAGGAUGAAGCGUGGGUAAAACCACGUGGAGGUCCGAACUAGUGUAGGUUGAAAACUGCUUGGAUGAGUUGUGGUUAGGGGUGAAAGGCUUAUCAAACACCGUAAUAGCUGGUUCUCCUCGAAACAUCUUUAGGGAUGGUCUGGCGUAGUAGCAAGCGGAGGUAAAGUACUCAAUGGGCUAGGGAACUUACCCGUUUACCGAACCCAAUGAAACUCUGAAUGCCGCUUGUGUAAUCGCUGGAAUCAGACAGUGGGGGCUAAGCUUCAUUGUCGAAAGGGGAAAAGCCCAGACCGUCAGCUAAGGUCCCUAAAUAUAGGCUAAGUGGUAAAGGAUGUAGGAAUUCUCAGACAACUGGGAUGUUGGCUUAGAGGCAGCCACCAUUUAAAGAGUGCGUAACAGCUCACCAGUCAAGAAAUCCUGCACCGAAAAUGAUCGGGGCUCAAGCCUAUUACCGAAGCUACGGAUGUAAGUUCUCUUCGGAGCAACUUGCGUGGUAGAGGAGCAUUCCUUCUGGAUUGAAGCGGAACCGACAAGGAUCCGUGGACCGAAAGGAAGAGAUUAUGCCGGAAUGAGUAGCGAUAAAACAGGUGAAAAACCUGUUCGCCAUAAACCCAAGGUUUCCCGGGGAAGGUUAAUCCGCCCGGGGUUAGUCGGUCCUAAGUCGAGGCCGGAGAGGCGUAGAUGAUGGACAGCA
RNAcentral lists this ribosomal RNA (1501 nucleotides) under Omnitrophica bacterium RIFCSPHIGHO2_02_FULL_45_28. Its description in RNAcentral is "bacterial LSU rRNA". It matches the Rfam family "Bacterial large subunit ribosomal RNA", at positions 1 to 1427 of the family's 2925-position model. The record is from RNAcentral. Lineage: Bacteria; Pseudomonadati; Candidatus Omnitrophota.